GGGCAGCUAACUCAGUUGGUUAGAGUGCCACGUUCACAUCGUGGAUGUCACAGGUUCAAAUCCUGUGCUGCCCACCA
This 77-nucleotide transfer RNA is filed under the name Candidatus Cloacimonadota bacterium. RNAcentral describes it as "tRNA-Val". It matches the Rfam family "tRNA". From Rfam's summary of the family: Transfer RNA (tRNA) molecules are approximately 80 nucleotides in length. Their secondary structure includes four short double-helical elements and three loops (D, anti-codon, and T loops). Further hydrogen bonds mediate the characteristic L-shaped molecular structure. tRNAs have two regions of fundamental functional importance: the anti-codon, which is responsible for specific mRNA codon recognition, and the 3' end, to which the tRNAs corresponding amino acid is attached (by aminoacyl-tRNA synthetases). tRNAs cope with the degeneracy of the genetic code in two manners: having more than one tRNA (with a specific anti-codon) for a particular amino acid; and 'wobble' base-pairing, i.e. permitting non-standard base-pairing at the 3rd anti-codon position. The record is from RNAcentral. Lineage: Bacteria; Pseudomonadati; Candidatus Cloacimonadota.